This 460-nucleotide ribosomal RNA is filed under the name uncultured bacterium. RNAcentral's name for it is "partial 16S ribosomal RNA". It matches the Rfam family "Bacterial small subunit ribosomal RNA", at positions 338 to 795 of the family's 1533-position model. The record is from RNAcentral.
CCUACGGGAGGCAGCAGUGAGGAAUAUUGGUCAAUGGCCGGAAGGCUGAACCAGCCAUGCCGCGUGAAGGUCAGUGCCCUAUGGGCAUUAAACUUCUUUUGUGCGGGAGCAAUAAUGGUCACGUGUGGCCAGACGAGAGUACCGUACGAAUAAGCAUCGGCUAACUCCGUGCCAGCAGCCGCGGUAAUACGGGGGAUGCAAGCGUUAUCCGGAUUUAUUGGGUUUAAAGGGUGCGUAGGCUGUGAGGUAAGUCAGCGGGGAAAUGCCCCCGCUCAACGGGGUGAAGUGCCAUUGAUACUGCCUUGCUGGAAUGCGGAUGCCGUGGGAGGAAUGUGUGGUGUAGCGGUGAAAUGCAUAGAUAUCACACAGAACACCGAUUGCGAAGGCAUCUCACGAAUCCGCGAUUGACGCUGAUGCACGAAAGCGUGGGUAUCAAACAGGAUUAGAUACCCGAGUAGUC